CCCUCUUUUUCCGACCGCGACCACAAAUCAAACGAGAAAACCCG
This 44-nucleotide ribosomal RNA is filed under the name Gagata cenia. RNAcentral's name for it is "partial 28S ribosomal RNA". The record is from RNAcentral. Lineage: Eukaryota; Metazoa; Chordata; Actinopteri; Siluriformes; Sisoridae.